UUCCUUCCUUAAAGGAGAGAAUGUUGGCUAUCUCCUCUUAUAAGGUCGGGAUUAGUCUUUGGGCUUUUCCAUUAUAUGCAUACAUAAUUAAGGCUAAAUCGUAUCCAAAUUUUUUUCUUUU
Molecule: non-coding RNA, 121 nt
Filed under: Cucumis melo (muskmelon)
Lineage: Eukaryota; Viridiplantae; Streptophyta; Magnoliopsida; Cucurbitales; Cucurbitaceae
Source: RNAcentral